This 274-nucleotide long non-coding RNA is filed under the name Dasypus novemcinctus (nine-banded armadillo). Its description in RNAcentral is "lncRNA (ENSDNOG00000051316.1)". The record is from RNAcentral. Lineage: Eukaryota; Metazoa; Chordata; Mammalia; Cingulata; Dasypodidae.
GCAGCCUGGCAGCGAGAGAACUAGUGCAUAAAUAAACUGGCUUCUCUCCUUCUUUCAGCCUCCCUCCAGUGUUGCUCAUCGACCAAAUUCAACAAGGAAUCAGAGGGCGAGAGAAUAUGGUUAAUGCAGUACAUGAAGGCCAGCUUCUCUGGGCAAGAAUAGAGUCGAGAAAGGAUCCGAAGGGGCAAACAGAGAAUACCCGGCACAACCCAUGUGUGAGAGUUUACAGGCCAGGAGAGCAGAAUCCAACUACAAAUCUCACAGCUGUCCCGGA